CUACGGGGGGCUGCAGUCGAGAAUCUUCCGCAAUGGACGAAAGUCUGACGGAGCGACGCCGCGUGCGGGAUGAAGGCCUUCGGGUUGUAAACCGCUGUCAGUGGGGAGGAAAUGCAUCAGGGUUCUCCCUGGUGUUUGACCGAUCCGCAGAGGAAGCGCAGGCUAAGUUCGUGCCAGCAGCCGCGGUAACACGAACUGCGCGAACGUUAUUCGGAAUCACUGGGCUUAAAGAGUUCGUAGGCGGCCUUUCAAGUCGGGUGUGAAAUCCCUCGGCUCAACCGAGGAAUUGCGCCUGAUACUGUUGGGCUUGAGGGGGAUAGGGGUGAGCGGAACUGAUGGUGGAGCGGUGAAAUGCGUUGAUAUCAUCAGGAACACCGGUGGCGAAGGCGGCUCACCGGAUCUCUUCUGACGCUGAGGAACGAAAGCUAGGGGAGCGAACGGGAUUAGAUACCCGUGUAGUC
Molecule: ribosomal RNA, 461 nt
Filed under: uncultured bacterium
Lineage: Bacteria
Description: partial 16S ribosomal RNA
Rfam family: Bacterial small subunit ribosomal RNA
Source: RNAcentral